Populus euphratica (Euphrates poplar) is the source of this 1491-nucleotide long non-coding RNA. RefSeq lists it as uncharacterized. NCBI's taxonomy places the organism in Eukaryota, Viridiplantae, Streptophyta, Magnoliopsida, Malpighiales, Salicaceae. The record is from RefSeq and is a predicted model, not a curated record. The transcript is spliced from 6 exons.
GACUCAAGAAAAUAUCUUCAUCAGUUUUAUUACAGAUGUGUUUACCAAAACGUACGAUUAAUCCAGGACCAGCAACUCUCAAUUAUCCAUAAUCAUCUGACAUUGGCAUGGCUGGCAGUUGGCAGUACCCUCUUUGAUCUUCUCGUAACCAAAACAAACCUCGAAAAGAAUAAGUGAUUUUCUCGUACUAAUGCAACAAUAACAGGCUGAUGAUACUGAUAAAGUCACGGGAUUUGAAGAGGAGUUACAAAAUGCAAGACGUUCAGUAGAAACACUGACUACCACUUUGGAAAAUCUGAAUCAAGCAAAAGCUGAUGUCUAGAACAAUUUAGAGAAUGAACCCGCAAUGAAGGUGAUGGUACUAAUAAUGGGUGCGGAAACUCUUCUGAGAUCAUUGAAGGAUUUGGAAUUGCAAGAAUCUGUUUUGCAAUCUGAUUAUGAUGUGAAACGAACUGACUUGGAAACUGAAUUUGUGAAUCGGAGAAGAAAAUAGCUGCUGGUAUGGAAAGUGAGAGUUUAUCGAAGGAUCUAGAUUGUUUAUUGAGAGUCUAUGGAAAAACUGAAUGCGGCAAACAAGGAAUUAGCAACUUGAUUGAGGGCAGUGAUGUUGGUAAGGCGGAAGCUUGGUGAAGUGCCACCACCACCGGGACUUAUCCGUUUCAGGAUGCCAUUACAAAUACCGAUGGUCGCACAAGACUGAUUGAUUCCAUGGAAGGAAAUGUGAAGGGAAGCCAACAGAAGCUACAAAAGGUCGAAGUUGGGCUUCAGGAAGAGCAGAAGGUUUCUGAUCCUCUUGAGAAGAGGUAUGCUGCAGCUAUGGCAGAGAAAAGGCGCUGCUAUUCCCUCUUAAGGCUUUUCAGGUAAGAGCUGCAGUCAUUAACCUAUGCUAGUGAUAAUGGUUAUAGAAAAAAAAAAAUUCACAUGCUCUGGAAGAACAAAUUUCACAAAUACUUUUCUUUCUGAUAUUUCAUUCUUGCCUAAUUGUCUGAGCAAAAACGACCUUUAAAACUUUUACAUGAAGGCUGCUUAAUGUUGUACUUAACUAUCCUUUCAACUUUAUCUCAAUUUUGUACAUCAUUUUCUUUUCAACUUUGGCUAUGCAUGAAAGUGCUGUGGCACCUCAAACUCUGGAUUUGUUUUUGGCAAAAGAGGUUAUUUAUUAGUGAUGUAUUAAGUUAUUCGUGAAGAAUUGCAUUAGGUUGUUUAUAAGGAACAAACGGUGGCUGUUGAAUGGUUCAGUGGUGGAAGACUUGGACUUGCAACCACAAGGGUCCGGGUUCUAGUUUUGAGAAUAGCUACUAAAUACAACUCAGAAUUCUCACUCUCGGGACUUCAUUUUGGUAGAAUGUUAACUGCUAGUUAUGCCUUCUAGACAGCACUGUUAAUUAUGAUAUAUGUUAUCUUGUCAUUUUUAACAACAGGAAAUAGUUGUGUUCUGUUUUCAUUCUUAUCAGCAAGAACUAAUUUCAUUUCAAUUUCGUAAUGUCAUCA